This 206-nucleotide ribosomal RNA is filed under the name uncultured Eubacteriales bacterium. RNAcentral's name for it is "uncultured Clostridiales bacterium partial 16S ribosomal RNA". It matches the Rfam family "Bacterial small subunit ribosomal RNA", at positions 568 to 774 of the family's 1533-position model. The record is from RNAcentral. Lineage: Bacteria; Bacillati; Bacillota; Clostridia; Eubacteriales.
UGCGUAGGCGGUCUUGCAAGCCAGAGGUGAAAGGCUAUGGCUCAACCAUAGUGAGCCUUUGGAACUGCCGGACUUGAGUACAGGAGAGGAAAGUGGAAUUCCUAGUGUAGCGGUGAAAUGCGUAGAUAUUAGGAGGAACACCAGUGGCGAAGGCGACUUUCUGGACUGUUACUGACGCUGAGGCACGAAAGCGUGGGGAGCGAACA